AAGGGAGACCUAAUUCAGGUAGGAGACGAAAAAAAAGUAGUCCCUACCAAGAAUCAAUCCCAAAAGGUCGGAACGAGGCGAAAUUGGCUUUCAAACUAGGUUCUGGGUUCAAACUAGACCUGAAUCAGGAACAAGGGCUAUUAGCUCAGGUGGUUAGAGCGCACCCCUGAUAAGGGUGAGGUCCCUGGUUCGAGUCCAGGAUGGCCCACCUGCACAGGUGGCAAAAACAAGAGAAGCUCCGAAUCAGCACCUUAUCUUACUUACAUAGUAAGAGAGAAUGCUGGCUCUGAGUAAAGAGUCCAGAGGAACCUUGAAAACUGCAUAGAGCUAGGUGAAAAAGCCAAAAAAGAAGACCGCAAGGUCAAGCUAAUAAGGGCUAACGGUGGAUACCUAGGCAC
RNAcentral lists this transfer RNA (398 nucleotides) under uncultured Microcystis sp. Its description in RNAcentral is "partial contains 16S-23S ribosomal RNA intergenic spacer, and 23S ribosomal RNA". The stretch from base 135 to 208 matches the Rfam family "tRNA". Lineage: Bacteria; Bacillati; Cyanobacteriota; Cyanophyceae; Chroococcales; Microcystaceae. The record is from RNAcentral.